AACGCGAAGAACCUUACCUGGGCUCGAACGGCUUCUCAACGAUCGUGGAAACACGGUUACCCCGCAAGGGGGUGGAGUCGAGGUGCUGCAUGGCUGUCGUCAGCUCGUGUCGUGAGAUGUUGGGUUAAGUCCCGCAACGAGCGCAACCCUCGCCCUUAGUUGCCAUCCCGCAAGGGGGCACUCUAGGGGGACUGCCACGGAUAACGUGGAGGAAGGUGAGGAUGACGUCAAGUCCUCAUGGCCUUUAUGUCCAGGGCUACACACGUGCUACAAUGGCCGGUACAAUCCGUCGCCAACUCGCGAGAGGGAGCCAAUCGGAAAAAGCCGGCCUCAGUUCGGAUUGCAGUCUGCAACUCGGCUGCAUGAAGCUGGAAUCGCUAGUAAUGGCAGAUCAGCAUGCUGCCGUGAAUACGUUCCCGGGCCUUGUACACACCGCUACAGU
Molecule: ribosomal RNA, 442 nt
Filed under: uncultured bacterium
Lineage: Bacteria
Description: bacterial SSU rRNA
Rfam family: Bacterial small subunit ribosomal RNA
Source: RNAcentral